CAGUAUGUCAAAGGGUGAUCUUUCUAAUAACAUGGUGACUUUUCUGUGUGCCUAUAGCUUCUUCACACCCCAGCUCACGUACUGCCAUCAGCUUCUUUUCUGUGCACUCUGUUUGUAAACUCACUGCUGCUGUCUAAAGAGACUAAAAGUGCUGAAGAAAUUUCUGAUGAUGUGGAUAUGGAGGGGAACGAAGAAAGUGAUGAUUCAGAUGAAGAAUAUGAUCUUACUGAAAAAGCCAAGGAAACAAGUAACCCAGACUUGGGAGAAGAUGCUAUACAUCAGCUGUCAAAGUCUGAAGAGAAAGAGCUGAGAAAGUUCAGAAAAGUAGAUUAUAGCUGGCUAACUGCUCUGUAGGCCAUGGCUGUGGCAUGACAUGGAGAUGUGUUGUACUUAAUUUUUACUGUCUGUUAAUACUCCACAAAUUUUGUAAAGUUAUUUUAUUCUUAAGAUAAAAUAUUAAAAGUCUUUUGUUU
RNAcentral lists this long non-coding RNA (473 nucleotides) under Rattus norvegicus (Norway rat). RNAcentral describes it as "long non-coding RNA NONRATT029366". The record is from RNAcentral. Lineage: Eukaryota; Metazoa; Chordata; Mammalia; Rodentia; Muridae.